UCCAGGGUAGCCUAGUGGACAUGGCAUCUGCCCAGUAAGCGGAACACUGUGGGCUCGGUUCCCAUCUCUGGAC
RNAcentral lists this transfer RNA (73 nucleotides) under Cordylochernes scorpioides. RNAcentral's name for it is "tRNA-Thr". The record is from RNAcentral. Lineage: Eukaryota; Metazoa; Arthropoda; Arachnida; Pseudoscorpiones; Chernetidae.